RNAcentral lists this transfer RNA (73 nucleotides) under Chloroflexota bacterium. Its description in RNAcentral is "Chloroflexi bacterium (marine metagenome) tRNA-Met". It matches the Rfam family "tRNA". Rfam says of the family: Transfer RNA (tRNA) molecules are approximately 80 nucleotides in length. Their secondary structure includes four short double-helical elements and three loops (D, anti-codon, and T loops). Further hydrogen bonds mediate the characteristic L-shaped molecular structure. tRNAs have two regions of fundamental functional importance: the anti-codon, which is responsible for specific mRNA codon recognition, and the 3' end, to which the tRNAs corresponding amino acid is attached (by aminoacyl-tRNA synthetases). tRNAs cope with the degeneracy of the genetic code in two manners: having more than one tRNA (with a specific anti-codon) for a particular amino acid; and 'wobble' base-pairing, i.e. permitting non-standard base-pairing at the 3rd anti-codon position. Lineage: Bacteria; Bacillati; Chloroflexota. The record is from RNAcentral.
UGCGGAGUGGAGGAGUGGCUACCUCGCUGGCCUCAUAAGCCAGAGAUCACGGGUUCGAGUCCCGUCUCCGCUA